GUAGGGUGCGAGCGUUAAUCGGAAUUACUGGGCGUAAAGCGUGCGCAGGCGGUUAUAUAAGACAGUUGUGAAAUCCCCGGGCUCAACCUGGGAAUUGCAUUUGUGACUGUAUAGCUAGAGUACGGUAGAGGGGGAUGGAAUUCCGCGUGUAGCAGUGAAAUGCGUAGAUAUGCGGAGGAACACCGAUGGCGAAGGCAAUCCCCUGGACCUGUACUGACGCUCAUGCACGAAAGCGUGGGGAGCAAAC
RNAcentral lists this ribosomal RNA (247 nucleotides) under uncultured Polaromonas sp. RNAcentral describes it as "partial 16S ribosomal RNA". It matches the Rfam family "Bacterial small subunit ribosomal RNA", at positions 527 to 773 of the family's 1533-position model. Lineage: Bacteria; Pseudomonadati; Pseudomonadota; Betaproteobacteria; Burkholderiales; Comamonadaceae. The record is from RNAcentral.